GAUGAAGAACGUAGCGAAAUGCGAUAAGUAGUGUGAAUUGCAGAAUUCAGUGAAUCAUCGAAUCUUUGAACGCACAUUGCGCCCUUUGGUAUUCCAAAGGGCAUGCCUGUUCGAGCGUCAUUUGUACCCUCAAGCUUUGCUUGGUGUUGGGCGUCUUGUCUCUAGCUUUGCUGGAGACUCGCCUUAAAGUAAUUGGCAGCCGGCCUACUGGUUUCGGAGCGCAGCACAAGUCGCACUCUCUAUCAGCAAAGGUCUAGCAUCCAUUAAGCCUUUUUUUCAACUUUUGACCUCGGAACAGGUAGGGAUACCCGCUGAACUUAAGCAUAUCAAUAAGCGGAGGA
This 341-nucleotide unclassified non-coding RNA is filed under the name soil metagenome. RNAcentral's name for it is "partial contains 5.8S ribosomal RNA, internal transcribed spacer 2, and large subunit ribosomal RNA". The stretch from base 1 to 120 matches the Rfam family "5.8S ribosomal RNA", at positions 35 to 154 of the family's 154-position model. The record is from RNAcentral.